AGAGUUUGAUCAUGGCUCAGAACGAACGCUGGCGGCAUGCCUAACACAUGCAAGUCGAACGUGGUCCAGGCUUCGGUCUGGUGAAAGUGGCAAACGGGUGAGUAACGCGUGGGAACCUGCCCAGAGGUAGGGAAUAACCGCGGGAAACUGCGGCUAAUACCCUAUGUGUCCUGAGGGACAAAGAUUUAUCGCCUUUGGAGGGGCCCGCGUCGGAUUAGGUAGUUGGUGGGGUAACGGCCUACCAAGCCAUCGAUCCGUAGCUGGUCUGAGAGGAUGAUCAGCCACACUGGGACUGAGAUACGGCCCAGACUCCUACGGGAGGCAGCAGUGGGGAAUAUUGGACAAUGGGGGCAACCCUGAUCCAGCAAUGCCGCGUGAGUGAUGAAGGCCUUCGGGUUGUAAAGCUCUUUCGGCGGGGAAGAUGAUGACGGUACCCGCAGAAGAAGCCCCGGCUAACUUCGUGCCAGCAGCCGCGGUAAUACGAAGGGGGCUAGCGUUGUUCGGAAUUACUGGGCGUAAAGGGCGCGUAGGCGGUGCUGUAAGUCAGGCGUGAAAUCCCCGGGCUCAACCUGGGAAUUGCGCAUGAUACUGCGGCGCUGGAAUGCGGGAGAGGAUGGCGGAAUUCCCAGUGUAGAGGUGAAAUUCGUAGAUAUUGGGAAGAACACCGGUGGCGAAGGCGGCCAUCUGGCCCGUGAUUGACGCUGAGGCGCGAAAGCGUGGGGAGCAAACAGGAUUAGAUACCCUAGUAGUCC
RNAcentral lists this ribosomal RNA (752 nucleotides) under uncultured bacterium. Its description in RNAcentral is "bacterial SSU rRNA". It matches the Rfam family "Bacterial small subunit ribosomal RNA", at positions 8 to 796 of the family's 1533-position model. The record is from RNAcentral.